GGCGUCUAAUACUGGAUAUGAGCCUUCAUCGCAUGGUGGGGGUUGGAAAGAUUUUUUGGUCUGGGAUGGGCUCGCGGCCUAUCAGCUUGUUGGUGAGGUAAUGGCUCACCAAGGCGUCGACGGGUAGCCGGCCUGAGAGGGUGACCGGCCACACUGGGACUGAGACACGGCCCAGACUCCUACGGGAGGCAGCAGUGGGGAAUAUUGCACAAUGGGCGAAAGCCUGAUGCAGCAACGCCGCGUGAGGGAUGACGGCCUUCGGGUUGUAAACCUCUUUUAGCAGGGAAGAAGCGAAAGUGACGGUACCUGCAGAAAAAGCGCCGGCUAACUACGUGCCAGCAGCCGCGGUAAUACGUAGGGCGCAAGCGUUAUCCGGAAUUAUUGGGCGUAAAGAGCUCGUAGGCGGUUUGUCGCGUCUGCUGUGAAAUCCCGAGGCUCAACCUCGGGCCUGCAGUGGGUACGGGCAGACUAGAGUGCGGUAGGGGAGAUUGGAAUUCCUGGUGUAGCGGUGGAAUGCGCAGAUAUCAGGAGGAACACCGAUGGCGAAGGCAGAUCUCUGGGC
RNAcentral lists this ribosomal RNA (562 nucleotides) under Microbacterium sp. PCSM57. Its description in RNAcentral is "bacterial SSU rRNA". It matches the Rfam family "Bacterial small subunit ribosomal RNA", at positions 158 to 734 of the family's 1533-position model. The record is from RNAcentral. Lineage: Bacteria; Bacillati; Actinomycetota; Actinomycetes; Micrococcales; Microbacteriaceae.